ACACGACUACAUUAGAUACCCGCGUAGUCCCAGCUGUAAACUAUGUGCGUUAGGUGUGUCAGUGACCACGUGUCACUGAGGUGCCGAAGGGAAGCCGUGAAGCGAGCCACCUGGGAAGUACGGCCGCAAGGCUGAAACUUAAAGGAAUUGGCGGGGGAGCACAACAACGGGUGGAGCUUGCGGUUUAAUUGGAUUCAACGCCGGAAAUCUUACCGGGACCGACAGCAACAUGAAGGCCAAGCUGAAGACUUUGCCGGAUUAGCUG
This 265-nucleotide ribosomal RNA is filed under the name uncultured archaeon. RNAcentral describes it as "partial 16S ribosomal RNA". It matches the Rfam family "Archaeal small subunit ribosomal RNA", at positions 717 to 982 of the family's 1478-position model. The record is from RNAcentral.